CCGGCGCACGGGUGAGUAACACGUAUGGAACCUGCCCUAUGCAGGGGGAUAAGCGGAAGAAAUUCCGUCUAAUACCGCAUAACACCUUUAGGAGACAUCUUCUUGGGGUCAAAGGAGGCGACUCCGGCAUAGGAUGGCCAUGCGUCGCAUUAGCUAGUCGGCGGGGUAACGGCCCACCGAGGCGACGAUGCGUAGGGGUUCUGAGAGGAAGGUCCCCCACACUGGGACUGAGACACGGCCCAGACUCCUACGGGAGGCAGCAG
Molecule: ribosomal RNA, 263 nt
Filed under: uncultured bacterium
Lineage: Bacteria
Description: partial 16S ribosomal RNA
Rfam family: Bacterial small subunit ribosomal RNA
Source: RNAcentral